AUACGUAGGUGGCAAGCGUUGUCCGGAAUUACUGGGUGUAAAGGGAGCGCAGGCGGGAGCGCAAGUUGGAUGUGAAAUACCGCAGCUUAACUGCGGAGCUGCAUCCAAAACUGUGUUUCUUGAGUGAAGUAGAGGUAGGCGGAAUUCCGAGUGUAGCGGUGAAAUGCGUAGAUAUUCGGAGGAACACCGGUGGCGAAGGCGGCCUACUGGGCUUUUACUGACGCUGAGGCUCGAGAGUGUGGGGAGC
Molecule: ribosomal RNA, 247 nt
Filed under: uncultured bacterium
Lineage: Bacteria
Description: partial 16S ribosomal RNA
Rfam family: Bacterial small subunit ribosomal RNA
Source: RNAcentral